UUCGAGCGCCGUUUAAAUAUUAAGGCUUUGCCUUUUGUUGAUGUUUAUCACCUUCAAAAGUGAUUCAUCCAAAAAUAUUGGCGUCAAUUAUUAGUCCAAGAAACGCAGUGAAAUGUGAAUCUAAACUAAUUGAUUUAUUGCCUUGUUUUACUCUUUCAAAACAUGGCCUCGGAUCAGAUAGGGAUACCCGCUGAACUUAA
RNAcentral lists this unclassified non-coding RNA (200 nucleotides) under soil metagenome. RNAcentral describes it as "partial contains internal transcribed spacer 2 and large subunit ribosomal RNA". The record is from RNAcentral.